UCCCUGGUGGUCUAGUAGUUAGGAUUUAGUGCUUUCACCACAGUGGCCCGGGUUCAAUCCCUGGCCUGAGAA
RNAcentral lists this transfer RNA (72 nucleotides) under Sus scrofa (pig). It matches the Rfam family "tRNA". From Rfam's summary of the family: Transfer RNA (tRNA) molecules are approximately 80 nucleotides in length. The record is from Rfam by way of RNAcentral. Lineage: Eukaryota; Metazoa; Chordata; Mammalia; Artiodactyla; Suidae.